UGCAGUCAUGUCAAAUUCAGAGGUACUUUUCCAUGGUACUUACUGGCCCAAAUGGCUGCUACAGUAAGUUUGUAGUUCGUGGGCCCCAGAUCUGCAUUUUUAGGUGCUGGAGAUAAAUAUGAUUCUACAAACAUAU
Small nucleolar RNA from Protopterus annectens (West African lungfish), 136 nucleotides. RefSeq annotates it as small nucleolar RNA SNORA5. The record is from RefSeq and is a predicted model, not a curated record. NCBI's taxonomy places the organism in Eukaryota, Metazoa, Chordata, Ceratodontiformes, Protopteridae. The transcript has a single exon.